RNAcentral lists this transfer RNA (65 nucleotides) under Ixodes hexagonus (hedgehog tick). RNAcentral's name for it is "tRNA-Met". Lineage: Eukaryota; Metazoa; Arthropoda; Arachnida; Ixodida; Ixodidae. The record is from RNAcentral.
AUAAAGUCAGCUAAUCUUAAGCUAGUGGGUUCAUACCCCAAAAAUGAAAUAUAUUUUCCUUUAUU